RNAcentral lists this ribosomal RNA (583 nucleotides) under proteobacterium StTD681. RNAcentral describes it as "bacterial SSU rRNA". It matches the Rfam family "Bacterial small subunit ribosomal RNA", at positions 102 to 681 of the family's 1533-position model. Lineage: Bacteria; Pseudomonadati; Pseudomonadota. The record is from RNAcentral.
ACGGGUGAGUAAUAUAUCGGAACGUGCCCAGUUGUGGGGGAUAGCCCGGCGAAAGCCGGAUUAAUACCGCAUACGACCUGAGGGUGAAAGCGGGGGAUCGCAAGACCUCGCGCAAUUGGAGCGGCCGAUAUCAGAUUAGCUAGUUGGUGGGGUAAAGGCCUACCAAGGCGACGAUCUGUAGCUGGUCUGAGAGGACGACCAGCCACACUGGGACUGAGACACGGCCCAGACUCCUACGGGAGGCAGCAGUGGGGAAUUUUGGACAAUGGGCGCAAGCCUGAUCCAGCCAUGCCGCGUGCGGGAAGAAGGCCUUCGGGUUGUAAACCGCUUUUGUCAGGGAAGAAACGGUCUGAUCUAAUAAAUUGGACUAAUGACGGUACCUGAAGAAUAAGCACCGGCUAACUACGUGCCAGCAGCCGCGGUAAUACGUAGGGUGCAAGCGUUAAUCGGAAUUACUGGGCGUAAAGCGUGCGCAGGCGGCUAUGCAAGACAGAUGUGAAAUCCCCGGGCUCAACCUGGGAACUGCAUUUGUGACUGCAUGGCUAGAGUACGGUAGAGGGGGAUGGAAUUCCGCGUGUAGCAG